UAUAUUUGUAGACUCCAUUUUAUUUUCCUCUGAUCAGCAUAUCUCUCAGGCUAAUGACAUUUCCAUUACUCGCUCACCUCCACCUUCACCUUCUAUUCCAGACCCAAUGCUUUCUUCUUCACCUAUUUCAUCUUUGCAUGAUCAUUCUUCCCCUCACAGUGAACCUUCUGUCAACAUUGAACCUAGAAAAUCUGAGAGACAAAAUAAAGGGGUUAUACCUUCUUAUCUCCAAGAUUUUUUUUGUAACUCUAUAUUUAUUAGUCAUGUGACCGAUUCAUGUUUUGCUAGCUCUUGUGCACCAACUGUUCUCUCCUAUAACGCCUUGUCCCCUGCAAAUCAAGUCAUACUUCAGUCUGUUUCUAACAUCUCUGAGCCUUCGAAUUAUGAAGAGGCUUGCACUCAUGUAGGUUGGAGAAAAGCAAUAGAAGAUGAAGUUACAACUUUACAGACUAAUCAUACUUGGGAUAUUGUUGUUCUUCCAUCAGAUAGAAGGGCUUUACCUUGUAAAUGGGUUUACAAAGUCAAACAACAUGUUGAUGGUAACCUUGAAAGAUUAAAAGCAAGGUUAGUUAUCCCGGUUGAUAUACAAAAGGAAGGGAUAGAUUGUCAUGAAACUUUUUUCCCAGUGGUAAAAAUGACCACUAACAGGUGUUUAUUGGAUGUUGCAGCUAUAAAUGGAUGGUAUAUUUCAUAAUUUGAUGUAAACAAUGCCUUAUUGCAAGGAGAUUUACAAGAAGAAGUUUACAUGAAAUUCCCUAUUGGUUUGGUGCCACCUGAUCCUAAUUUGGUUUGAAAAUUGAACAAGUCUUUAUAUGGUCUGAAACAAGAUUCCAGACAGUGAUAUGCUCGGCUUGCCAGAGCACUCAGUUUCAAAGGCUUCAUUGCAUCACUCAAUGAUUAUUCUUUGUUUUUCAAGAAAUCGGGGGAUACCAUAGCUAUUGUUGUUGUUUAUGUGGAUGGCAUAUUGAUCACAGGGGAUGCUUCUACAGAAAUAGCAGAUCUAAAGGAUUUUCUUCAUUUUGAAUUCAAGAUAAAAAAAAUCUGAGAUCUUUACAUUAUUUUCUUUCUAUUGAGGUUUUAAGGGAAGACCAGGGACUAAUUAUCCGUCAAAGAAGGUAUACCUCUGAUUUUGUCAUUGAAUUUGAUGUGUCUCAUAUGUCUUCUAUCUCUUCACCUUUGGAUCCAUCUAUCAAAUUGGUAGCAAAAUCCGAUGAGUACAUGGAAGAUCCUAUUCUAUACAAGCAUCUUGUGGGCAAACUUAACUAUUUGACAUACACAAGACCAGACAUUAGUCAUGCAUCGUUAAUUCUUAGCCAAUUGGAGCUUUAAGAGUAGUUCGUUACCUUAAACAGUUUCCCGCUCGGGGAUUAUUUCUAUCUUCUUCUCCAUCUUUCUCCAUCAGUGCAUUUUGCGAUGCUGACUGGGCUUCAUGUCGAGAUUCGCGCAGAUCCAUCGGUGGAUUCUUUAUUAGUUUUGGUGGCCCACCUAUUUCUUGGAAAUCAAAGAAACAAAUCUCCAUCUCCUUGUCAUCUGCUGAAGCCGAAUAUAGAUCCAUGAGGCGUCUCGUAGCUGAGUUGACUUGGCUGACUCGUUUCCUUACUGAUUUAUCAGUUCCAUC
RNAcentral lists this long non-coding RNA (1618 nucleotides) under Solanum tuberosum (potato). RNAcentral describes it as "long non-coding RNA (STUB_LNC009042)". The record is from RNAcentral. Lineage: Eukaryota; Viridiplantae; Streptophyta; Magnoliopsida; Solanales; Solanaceae.